Molecule: ribosomal RNA, 253 nt
Filed under: uncultured bacterium
Lineage: Bacteria
Description: partial 16S ribosomal RNA
Rfam family: Bacterial small subunit ribosomal RNA
Source: RNAcentral
GACGAACCGUGCGAACGUUGUUCGGAAUCACUGGGCUUAAAGGGCGCGUAGGUGGUCUGUCAAGUCGGGGGUGAAAUCUUUCGGCUCAACCGGAAAACUGCCUUCGAUACUGACAGGCUAGAGGGAGGUAGGGGUUGCGGGAACUACCAGUGGAGCGGUGAAAUGCGUUGAUAUUGGUAGGAACGCCGGUGGCGAAAGCGCGCAACUGGAUCUCUUCUGACACUGAUGCGCGAAAGCUAGGGGAGCAAACGGG